RNAcentral lists this ribosomal RNA (354 nucleotides) under uncultured Sphingobacteriales bacterium. RNAcentral describes it as "bacterial SSU rRNA". It matches the Rfam family "Bacterial small subunit ribosomal RNA", at positions 1029 to 1382 of the family's 1533-position model. The record is from RNAcentral. Lineage: Bacteria; Pseudomonadati; Bacteroidota; Sphingobacteriia; Sphingobacteriales.
UUUUACGAGGUGCUGCAUGGUUGUCGUCAGCUCGUGCCGUGAGGUGUCGGGUUAAGUCCCAUAACGAGCGCAACCCCUACCUUUAGUUGCCAUCAGGUUAAGCUGGGGACGUCUAAAGGAACUGCCUACGCAAGUAGUGAGGAAGCGGGGAUGACGUCAAAUCAGCACGGCCCUUACGUCCAGGGCUACACACGUGCUACAAUGGCCGAUACAGAGGGCAGCUACCUGGUGACAGGAUGCAAAUCUCCAAAGUCGGUCUCAGUUCGGAUCGGAGUCUGCAACCCGACUCCGUGAAGUUGGAUUCGCUAGUAAUCGCGCAUCAGCCAUGGCGCGGUGAAUACGUUCCCGGGCCUU